AUAGUCAGGGGCGGGACCUCUGUGAUUGGCCGUGGUCCUGUAGUUGUCCCGUAGUCCUUUGUGUACGUUUGAAAGUGCAGGUGGAUAGAGAGAGUUCAGAGGAGGGACAGCUGACACAACAACCUGCAGAGAAACACCUGAACAAGUCCACAGACCAAUCUCUAUAAAAACUCUGUGUGGAGUUACCUGUGGGAGGGACCUCAGCAGCAGGAGUUUGACCUUGAUCGGUCAGUGGCUUCACCAUAGAGCCA
Long non-coding RNA from Oreochromis niloticus (Nile tilapia), 251 nucleotides. RefSeq lists it as uncharacterized. The record is from RefSeq and is a predicted model, not a curated record. The transcript is spliced from 3 exons. NCBI's taxonomy places the organism in Eukaryota, Metazoa, Chordata, Actinopteri, Cichliformes, Cichlidae.